RNAcentral lists this ribosomal RNA (253 nucleotides) under uncultured bacterium. RNAcentral describes it as "partial 16S ribosomal RNA". It matches the Rfam family "Bacterial small subunit ribosomal RNA", at positions 524 to 776 of the family's 1533-position model. The record is from RNAcentral.
UACGGGGGGGGCAAGCGUUGUUCGGAAUUACUGGGCGUAAAGGGCUCGUAGGCGGCCAACUAAGUCCGACGUGAAAUCCCCAAGCUUAACUUGGGAACUGCGUCGGAUACUGGAUGGCUUGAAUUCGGGAGAGGGAUGCAGAAUUCCAGGUGUAGCGGUGAAAUGCGUAGAUAUCUGGAGGAACACCGGUGGCGAAGGCGGCAUCCUGGACCGACACUGACGCUGAGGCGCGAAAGCUAGGGUAGCAAACGGG